Molecule: microRNA, 21 nt
Filed under: Mus musculus (house mouse)
Lineage: Eukaryota; Metazoa; Chordata; Mammalia; Rodentia; Muridae
Also listed under: 1 other name
Description: mmu-miR-128-1-5p
Gene: mmu-miR-128-1-5p
Source: miRBase by way of RNAcentral
CGGGGCCGUAGCACUGUCUGA